GAGACACCCUUCUGGGGCAAGACUUGCUUCAGUGGGGCUUUGGUGCUCACUGAGUCUGCCCACUGUGUGUGUCCCU
This 76-nucleotide microRNA precursor is filed under the name Myotis lucifugus (little brown bat). RNAcentral's name for it is "mir-9229 microRNA precursor family". It matches the Rfam family "mir-9229 microRNA precursor family". The record is from Rfam by way of RNAcentral. Lineage: Eukaryota; Metazoa; Chordata; Mammalia; Chiroptera; Vespertilionidae.